Molecule: long non-coding RNA, 1273 nt
Filed under: Triticum aestivum (bread wheat)
Lineage: Eukaryota; Viridiplantae; Streptophyta; Magnoliopsida; Poales; Poaceae
Description: long non-coding RNA (TAES_LNC007344)
Source: RNAcentral
GCCGCCUGCCCACCCCCUCCCCACGCGCCAGCCGCCGAUCUGCGCCGCCGCCACGCAGGACGGCCAGAGGAACACCGGAGCUGGGCCACCCUCCUCUCCCUCCUCUCCUUUUACCUCCUCACCGCACCCUCUGAACUCGCUCGUGAACGCAGGUGUCGCCUUGGGCAUCUCAAAGCUUUCCCCACCCUGCCUCCGCUCUAGAUCCGGGUGUCGCCGUACUUUUCGCGUCGGAUCCGGAUGCCAUCCCCCGAGACCCCCUACCUCCUCGUCGGUCCAUCCUCUACUCACCGGCUUCCUUGUCCCCAUCGAUGAGGGAUCCAGCAAAACCUCCCUCGACGAGCUCGCUUCGCCGGCUACCACUCCCACCAGCGCCACGCAGUCCAGUACGUGGGUGCACGCAGCACGCCCAUGGUUGAUGCAGUGUGGCAGGGUGGCAGAUGCAGUGCGGCACUCACGGUCAUGCGUGUUCACCGGCGUGGUCGCUAUAGAUUGCCACGUAGGUCACUCCUGGGUAUCACUUUUUUUAUCAUAUGGUUGUUCUCUUUUUUUUAUUGUGCGAUUCACUUGUUGCCUUUGGUAUGCAGAUCAUUCUUUUUGACAUGUAUGAAUCAUGUAACUCUUUGAGAGGUUCGCUCCUCUGUCUAAUAUGGUUCACUCUGUUCCUUGUGCUAAACCAGAAGAGAUCAAGGUCAACUGCGGCGACGACGCCCCGUGAAGUUCGGAAGAGGAUUUUUCGCCGAGCAUGCAGUGCAAAAUCACUUUUUGAAAAUGUUUUGAUGUGGUCGCAGCCAUGGGACGCCGGCUUGAUUCAGAUUACCUAUGGGGGAGAGCAGUAGCACACAUGUACUAGUUCAGAAGCAUUUUAUUUUUAUUUUUUCAGACUUGUUUGUCAUUUCUCUCCAAUUCUGCAUUAGAGUACCUUGACAUGGCCACACACUUGUUUAGUUGGACAAGUCGUGGUUUCUUGUGUUGUGCAGUUCGCAGGUCCUGCUCGAGACGUUCACUUAACUGCCGUUGCCAAUUUUUAUUUUAUAAUUGAGGGUUGCCCAUGUUAAAUUUCAGGGCUAGUUUGUAAGCCCGUUGAAAACGAUGCAGUUCGUUGUGACACCCAAGUGAUUCACUCUGAAAAACGACUAUGCAGAUCUCUACGUCCACACAAUGGUGGAUAAUGAAUGGAUAUGUAUGUUUUUGAAGCUCACUUUGUCCUCUAAAAUAUUGAGUUUGGAAAAAACUCACGCGGUUCACUUUCGGUAGUGUUGCAGCCCGUUUGCGG